This 253-nucleotide ribosomal RNA is filed under the name uncultured bacterium. Its description in RNAcentral is "partial 16S ribosomal RNA". It matches the Rfam family "Bacterial small subunit ribosomal RNA", at positions 524 to 776 of the family's 1533-position model. The record is from RNAcentral.
UACGUAGGUGGCGAGCGUUGUCCGGAAUUACUGGGUGUAAAGCGCGUGUAGGCGGGAGGCCAAGUCUGUGGUGAAAUCGCUCGGCUUAACUGGGCGGGGUCCAUGGAAACUGGUCACCUGGAGGUCGGUAGAGGCAAGUGGAAUUCCCGGUGUAGCGGUGAAAUGCGUAGAUAUCUGGAGGAACACCGGUGGCGAAGGCGGCAUCCUGGACCGACACUGACGCUGAGGAGCGAAAGCCAGGGGAGCAAACGGG